CGCGCCUCGGUGAGGGCCCCCCUUAGCCCCAAGCCUUCGGCUACCCUGAAAACGCGGCUCCCCUCGAAGGGGAAACAAGUGCAGUUCAAUCUCGUCUGAGUGAUCUACAAAUAAGGACGGAAAGGGUCGUUUUAUCACUGUCCCGUUUGUCGUGACGAUGCAAUUUCCCGGAGCGGAGCACUGUCACAAAGUGACAAGGCUGCCACAAGCGCCCCGACUGAUCUUUUCAAUUAGCCUUCCAUGCAUGAUCCGGAGCGACUUCCGCCUAUUUCCAGAAAUUAAGCUCAAACUUGACGUGCAGCUAGUUUUAUUUUAAAGACAAAUGUCAGAGAGGCUCAUCAUAUUUUCCCCCCUCUUCUAUAUUUGGAGCUUAUUUAUUGCUAAGAAGCUCAGGCUCCUGGAGUCAAUUUAUCAGUAGGCUCCAAGGAGAAGAGAGGAGAGGAGAGGAGAGGAGAGCUGAACAGGGAGCCACGUCUUUUCCUGGGAGGGCUGCUCUCUAAGUCGGGGCUGCAGGUUGGAGAUUUUUAAGGAAGUGGAAAUUGGCAAAUUGGCUUUGUGUGUCUGUGGUUUUUGGGGAGGGGGACUACAAAGAGGGGCUAACUCCCUCUCCCUAUUCUCUAAGGUUGGACCACAGGGAUGAGGUUGUGAGAUACAAAGAUAAAGGACGGAUGGGGAACACUAUGAUGUGGUCUUUUUCUUUUCUGUUUUUGAUUUUUGCUAAUAUCUAUCCUUGGCUAAGGGGAGGGCGGAGUUCAGCGGCGGAAAUAAAGCGAGCAGUGGCUGGUGCGAACCGACUCCCGGCUCUGAGCCUUACUUGCGGUGGCCGGACUUGUCUGUGGCUGAAGCCGAGCCCGGGCUCUGACUCUCACGUCUGCACUGGAGGUGCGGAAACCUGGACUGGGGUUCGCCAGCCACAGACUGGCUGCUCUGGUUGUUCUCUCCUCUUCCUUCUUCUAUUCUAACCAAACAAAACCCAACUAGAUGCUUGUGCCAGGCCUUGGCCAGUUUGGACGGUGAUGGAAACAUUUCUGGAUUUUAGCGUCUAAGGGAGCACUCAAGGGCUGUAAGGUUUGCUAUCACUGUCCCAACACUGCAGAGACCUUGAAGGUUCAGUGUGGGAUCUGUAGAACCCAUGGUUUGCGGUGACACUCAGAGGGGAUCUUUGGGAGAUUUAUAGAGCCGGUUCUUAGCGCUUUGUGGGUUCAGAGGCUGGCUGCAGUGUUUAUGAAGAGGGGCAGUGGGCUGGGGACACUGCUGGGGUUAUGGCUGUAGUGAGGUCCAUGUGUACUUGUUCCUUGGCAUGCGUCUGACUCUGUGUUGCUGCUGCAGUACAGUGGGCAGGGGCACGGUUGCUUGGGACUGGGCUGCCCGAUGUCUGGCAUGGCUGGUGGUCCUGUUGUCCUUUAUUUGAUCGAUAGCAGGGAACUGAUCGCCGAGGUUGGCACAGGUUGGCAGGGGGAUGAGGAUGCAUUGUGGUUGUCUCCUCCUCCUCUCCUUCUUCCUCUUCCCCUUCCUCCUCUCCUUUCUGUUCUUGUUCUCCCUCAUCUUCCUCUUCCUUCUUCUCCCUCUUCUUCCUCUUCACUCUGCUCUCCUCUCUUCUUUUCCCCUUUCCUCUCCUCUCCCUUUCCUCAGGUCACAGCGGAGUGAAUCAGCUCGGUGGUGUCUUUGUCAACGGGCGGCCACUGCCGGACUCCACCCGGCAGAAGAUUGUAGAGCUAGCUCACAGCGGGGCCCGGCCGUGCGACAUUUCCCGAAUUCUGCAGGUGUCCAACGGAUGUGUGAGUAAAAUUCUGGGCAGGUAUUACGAGACUGGCUCCAUCAGACCCAGGGCAAUCGGUGGUAGUAAACCGAGAGUAGCGACUCCAGAAGUUGUAAGCAAAAUAGCCCAGUAUAAGCGGGAGUGCCCGUCCAUCUUUGCUUGGGAAAUCCGAGACAGAUUACUGUCCGAGGGGGUCUGUACCAACGAUAACAUACCAAGUGUAAGUUCAUUGAGAAGAUCUGCCCUCCCUGCCCUAAGCCCAAUGCUCUCUCCUCUUUACCUCCUCCCACCCUCUCUCUCCACUGUCUCUUAGUCUGUGUCCUCUCCCUGCUCCACAUUUGUCUCCUUUGUACCUGGGGGAACAGAGAGGAAUGCCCUGACUUUUCUUUGACUGUCUGGAAAAUGGGAGUCAAGUGUGGGGAGUCAUUCACUUCAUUUGCAUGCUGCAAAACAGAGGGCGGAGGCACCAGGGAAAGGCACUUGAAUGAAGAAGGAAAAUGAGAACCAGAUUGUAACUUCGUCCUAAUCCACCUGCCAGAACUUUCCUUCAGGUGUCACACAUCCAUUUCCAUCCUAAUAUUAAACAAUAUAAUGAAAGAAAGCUUUACACCAAGUCUAAAUAGAUUUUAUUUUCGGGCAGUCUUUUAACAAAGCAAAGCAACCGUGUGAGUUAGGUCACCAGAGACACCAAGCAAUGGUGAAGGACCCCCUCCCCCCAAUUCUCUAUCCAACUAAAUUUCCAUGCCCAAAGUGAUAGCUAUCAUUUUUUCCACGGUGUAUCUGCAAAUCCACCCACUGUCCCGGGGUGGCUGGGAGCUUUUUAAUGGGUUGAGAGUUGCUUUUUAAGGUUGUGGGUGAGCUGAGAUGGGUGACUGUGUCUUCAGGAGGCACUACCAUUUGGUUUGAUUUUGGUUUGAUUUGCAGGUGUCAUCAAUAAACAGAGUUCUUCGCAACCUGGCUAGCGAAAAGCAACAGAUGGGCGCAGACGGCAUGUAUGAUAAACUAAGGAUGUUGAACGGGCAGACCGGAAGCUGGGGCACCCGCCCUGGUUGGUAUCCGGGGACUUCGGUGCCAGGGCAACCUACGCAAGAUGGCUGCCAGCAACAGGAAGGAGGGGGAGAGAAUACCAACUCCAUCAGUUCCAAUGGAGAAGAUUCAGAUGAGGCUCAAAUGCGACUUCAGCUGAAGCGGAAGCUGCAAAGAAAUAGAACAUCCUUUACCCAAGAGCAAAUUGAGGCCCUGGAGAAAGAGUUUGAGAGAACCCAUUAUCCAGAUGUGUUUGCUCGAGAAAGACUAGCAGCCAAAAUAGAUCUACCUGAAGCAAGAAUACAGGUAUGGUUUUCUAAUCGAAGGGCCAAAUGGAGAAGAGAAGAAAAACUGAGGAAUCAGAGAAGACAGGCCAGCAACACACCUAGUCAUAUUCCUAUCAGCAGUAGUUUCAGCACCAGUGUCUACCAACCAAUUCCACAACCCACCACACCUGUUUCCUCCUUCACAUCUGGCUCCAUGUUGGGCCGAACAGACACAGCCCUCACAAACACCUACAGCGCUCUGCCGCCUAUGCCCAGCUUCACCAUGGCAAAUAACCUGCCUAUGCAACCCCCAGUCCCCAGCCAGACCUCCUCAUACUCCUGCAUGCUGCCCACCAGCCCUUCAGUGAAUGGGCGGAGUUAUGAUACCUACACCCCCCCACAUAUGCAGACACACAUGAACAGUCAGCCAAUGGGCACCUCGGGCACCACUUCAACAGGACUCAUUUCCCCUGGUGUGUCAGUUCCAGUUCAAGUUCCCGGAAGUGAACCUGAUAUGUCUCAAUACUGGCCAAGAUUACAGU
Molecule: small RNA, 3593 nt
Filed under: Pan troglodytes (chimpanzee)
Lineage: Eukaryota; Metazoa; Chordata; Mammalia; Primates; Hominidae
Description: retained intron
Source: RNAcentral